AUAUAUUUUCUCUUUUCUGAAAGAGAGAGAGAGACGAAGGGCAUAGACAUCUAAACAAUAUCUU
Caenorhabditis elegans is the source of this 64-nucleotide non-coding RNA. NCBI's taxonomy places the organism in Eukaryota, Metazoa, Nematoda, Chromadorea, Rhabditida, Rhabditidae. The record is from Ensembl.